CCGUCAUGCCCUUAGAUGUUCUGGGCCGCACGCGCGUUACAAUGGAACGUAAAGCGAGUGCUGCAAUAGUGAUCCCGGGGCCGAGAGGCUUUGGUAACCAUCAAAACGUUCCCUGCCUGGGACAGAUCAUUGAAAUUAUUGGUCUCUAACGAGGAA
RNAcentral lists this ribosomal RNA (156 nucleotides) under Fuligo septica. RNAcentral describes it as "partial small subunit ribosomal RNA". It matches the Rfam family "Eukaryotic small subunit ribosomal RNA", at positions 1462 to 1610 of the family's 1831-position model. The record is from RNAcentral. Lineage: Eukaryota; Evosea; Eumycetozoa; Physariida; Physaraceae.